RNAcentral lists this small nucleolar RNA (74 nucleotides) under Erinaceus europaeus (western European hedgehog). RNAcentral describes it as "Small nucleolar RNA SNORD95 (ENSEEUG00000018802.1)". The record is from RNAcentral. Lineage: Eukaryota; Metazoa; Chordata; Mammalia; Eulipotyphla; Erinaceidae.
GUGUGGUGAUGAUCCCAACAUGCCAUCUGAGCACCCUUGCUGAGAACCAGAGGAGAAAAAAUAUAUCUAUGCCU